AAUCAAGGAAAAGUCAGAAGAGUUUAAUUACUAGACUUGCUUUUUGUUUUUAUUAUCAACAAUCAAGUUAAUGGUACACUCUUGGAAAACUAUAUGCACAUGUAGAAAUAUUUCCCUUUUAAAUAGAAGCAUUCAUCAUAACACAUAUAAAUAAAUUCGAAAAUCUGAAACAUAACUUAUGACGCUUAUGUUCACAAACAUAGUCCAACAAGAAGAAAAAAAGAAAUCAGACAGACAUGCACCUGAUAACAAAAAUAUAUACCAUUGUUUGAACCGUGGUCUCUCUAAACACAAAGGAAUUGAACCCGUGAGAACCUUAUUACUCCAUAAAGACACGCCAUAGAGACUACAAGAAGAGAAAAACAUUAUACGGUCACGUAGAGGAGACGGUCUGUACUGAUAUUAACACGAUACAAUUGAGUCACAGAACACAGUUGUAGAAAGACACCAAAAAAGUUAAAGCCUCAACAUUCAACUAAUAUCUAUAGUUUGUGCCUUUUAAAACAAAAACCAAAAAACCAAAUCCCAACAGAUAUGUCUAAACUGCGCGAAGAAUGGAAUCAUCUAUACAGUCCAUCCACCAUUCAAGGAUGUGAGUCCAUUUCGGGUCAACAGAAAUGCAAACCGAGAUACUUUUGCAAACUUGUGUGUGCGCGCCUUUCCCUUGCUCAGUAGAUUUCUCUGCAGCCAGUCGCGUGGACUGCAACUGACUCCAACCCAAAGCAGUGCCAAAAAGUUCAGUAAAAGCUGGUGGAAGAAGAAAAUGCCGGUGGGGGUGGCGGGAGAGAAAAAAAAGGGAAGAGUUGCGAAAUAUGAGAGACAGUUUGCAGAGUUUGCGGAUGAAAAGGCAUCUCACGUAUAGGGCAUCUUUCCGGGCCGAGUGGCUGCAAAGAUUCGGGGUUGGGAGGUGCAACCGUGUGGGGUUCGGAUGCGCGAAUGGCGUUCGGCGAGGUGGGACAGGCAAGCGGGCGCGACGAAGUCACCUUGGCCGCGGGGACAGUCUGCACGAAUCGUCGCCGCAGAGGCCCGAACCCAAGGGCACUAGAGGAAGGGGGGCUGGAAAGCUCCCCUACUCUCCCCAGAGGAGAAGCCCCAAGGGAAUCUGUGCUGUCAGGAGGGCGCCAAUUUAGGGGUUCACAAGAUAGAGCCCUCAGACAGUGCCAAGUGCUGCCUCCCCUUUCCCCCUCUUCUUCCCUUUUUUUUUUUUUUUUUUUGCAUUUAAAAACCUUUUAGGGUUUUUUUUUUUUAUUUUUUAAUUGUUACAGCCUUACUAAUUUUUUUUCUUUAAUUUUGGGGGAUUUUUUUGUUUUUCUCAUUUUCUAAGCAAGUCACUGAGUUGGUUGUGCCCCCAACCCAUCUCUCCCUGUCACCUGUUCGGGCCACAGACAUACAUUCCCCGAGACAGACAUACACCCACACGCAGACACAGCCCCCUGAGAGUGCCCCCGAGUCCAGGAGUGGGGUUGAAAUGGGGGCGACGCCAUUUUCUCUUUAUUCUUAUCGCGAUUACUUUAGGCUUUCAAUGAAAAAGCCACGGCAGCAGCGACGACAAUAGCCUUGGGCCUACCCGCUCGCCCACUCGCCCGCCCGGCCCGGCUCGCCCGCUGUCGCCGCCGCCGCCGCCGC
Molecule: long non-coding RNA, 1626 nt
Organism: Equus caballus (horse)
Lineage: Eukaryota; Metazoa; Chordata; Mammalia; Perissodactyla; Equidae
Source: Ensembl